AGGACGAACGCUGGCGGCGUGCUUAACACAUGCAAGUCGAGCGGAAAGGCCCUUCGGGGUACUCGAGCGGCGAACGGGUGAGUAACACGUGAGCAACCUGCCCUUAGCUUCGGGAUAGCUCCGGGAAACCGGAAUUAAUACCGAAUAUGACUUUGGCUGACAUCAGCAGAAGUGGAAAGUUUUUCGGCUAGGGAUGGACUCGCGGCCUAUCAGCUAGUUGGUGAGGUAACGGCCCACCAAGGCGACGACGGAUAGCUGGUCUGAGAGGACGAUCAGCCACACUGGGACUGAGACACGGCCCAGACUCCUACGGGAGGCAGCAGUGGGGAAUUUUGCGCAAUGGGGGAAACCCUGACGCAGCAACGCCGCGUGGAGGAUGAAGCCCCUUGGGGUGUAAACUCCUUUCGAUCGGGAAGAUAAUGACGGUACCGAUAUAAGAAGCCCCGGCUAACUUCGUGCCAGCAGCCGC
This 469-nucleotide ribosomal RNA is filed under the name uncultured bacterium. Its description in RNAcentral is "SSU rRNA". It matches the Rfam family "Bacterial small subunit ribosomal RNA", at positions 26 to 518 of the family's 1533-position model. The record is from RNAcentral.